This 459-nucleotide ribosomal RNA is filed under the name uncultured bacterium. RNAcentral describes it as "partial 16S ribosomal RNA". It matches the Rfam family "Bacterial small subunit ribosomal RNA", at positions 338 to 795 of the family's 1533-position model. The record is from RNAcentral.
CCUACGGGAGGCAGCAGUGAGGAAUAUUGGUCAAUGGGCGGGAGCCUGAACCAGCCAAGCCGCGUGAGGGAAGAAGGUACAGCGUAUCGUAAACCUCUUUUGUCAGGGAACAAAGGCGGGGACUAGUCCCCGGAUGAGGGUACCUGAAGAAAAAGCAUCGGCUAACUCCGUGCCAGCAGCCGCGGUAAUACGGAGGAUGCGAGCGUUAUCCGGAUUUAUUGGGUUUAAAGGGUGCGCAGGCGGCCUGUUAAGUCAGCGGUAAAAGCCCGGGGCUCAACCCCGGACUGCCGUCGGAACUGGGUGCCUUGAGUGGGCGAGAAGUAUGCGGAAUGCGUGGUGUAGCGGUGAAAUGCAUAGAUAUCACGCAGAACCCCGAUUGCGAAGGCAGCAUACCGGCGCCCUACUGACGCUGAGGCACGAAAGUGCGGGUAUCGAACAGGAUUAGAUACCCCAGUAGUC